Arabidopsis thaliana (thale cress) is the source of this 552-nucleotide long non-coding RNA. RefSeq annotates it as other RNA. The transcript has a single exon. Lineage: Eukaryota; Viridiplantae; Streptophyta; Magnoliopsida; Brassicales; Brassicaceae. The record is from RefSeq.
CAAGUACUCGAUCUCCUCGUCAUCAUUUAUGCAUCUCAACUUCUUGAAUCACUUCUUGUACUACUUCCUGCACUAUUUCGACGACUAGUACAGAACAACGAGAUAAUUGCAUAUUCAAUCUCUCCCUUUUUGACUAUGUAUUUGAACUCAACAACUCUAGUUUCGAUGACUUCAUCACCAAUAACACAUCAACCUAGCAACACCAAUCUCCCCUUAAUUGAGUCACAUCAUGUCAAAAACUAAUUCAAGGAUCGCCUCCAUCGAAACCAAGGAUGAAACCCCAUUGCACCAUCUCUGUAAUGAUUAACUCUCCUAGACCAAGUAUUCAUGAGUUGUAUGAAUCCAUAACGCACGAUUCUUAGCUCCGUUUUACUUCCUUAAUGAUCUCAUGAAUGAUCUCCUGAACGAUCUUAUGAACCUCACCCUGAUCUACCCGAAACAAGACUAAAUCUCUAUCGAGAACCCGCUUUGCUACCACUUGAAAGUGCAUAAAGUAAAGAGACACAAAAUUUGUUAACGAGAUUUGAUUUUUUCUACUCUCCGAGACCACGU